Molecule: ribosomal RNA, 877 nt
Filed under: uncultured archaeon
Lineage: Archaea
Description: bacterial SSU rRNA
Rfam family: Archaeal small subunit ribosomal RNA
Source: RNAcentral
GGUUACUGCUAUCGGGGUCCGACUAAGCCAUGCGAGUUGAGAGGGGUAAGCCCUCGGCAUACUGCUCAGUAACACGCGGAUAACCUGCCCUUGGGUCCGGGAUAACCCCGGGAAACUGGGACUAAUACCGGAUAGAUCAGAGAAACUGGAAUGUUCUCUGGUUCAAAACUCCGGCGCCCAAGGAUGGGUCUGCGGCCUAUCAGGUAGUAGUGGGUGUAACGUACCUACUAGCCAGCGACGGGUAAGGGUUGUGAGAGCAAGAUCCCUGAGAUGGAUUCUGUGACAUGAAUCCAGGCCCUACGGGGUGCAGCAGGCGCGAAAACUUUACACUGCGGGAAACCGCGAUAAGGGGACCCCGAGUGCCAGCACCUAGUGCUGGCUGUCCUACUGUCUAAAUAACAGUGGUUAGCAAGGGCCGGGCAAGACCGGUGCCAGCCGCCGCGGUAACACCGGCGGCCCGAGUGGUAACCGUUUUUAUUGGGUUUAAAGGGUCCGUAGCCGGCUUACUAAGUCUCUUGGGAAAUCUGGCGGCUCAAUCGUCAGGCGGCCAAGAGAUACUGGUAGGCUUGGGACCGGGAGAGGUGGGAGGUACUCCAGGGGUAGGGGUGAAAUCUCGUAAUCCUUGGGGGACCACCGAUGGCGAAGGCAUCCCACCAGAACGGGUCCGACGGUGAGGGACGAAAGCUGGGGGCACGAACCGGAUUAGAUACCCGGGUAGUCCCAGCUGUAAACGAUGCUCGCUAGGUGUCAGGUGCGGUGCGACCGCAUCUGGUGCCGCAGUGAAAACUUGAAGCGAGUCACCUGGGAAGUACGGUCGCAAGGCUGAAACUUAAAGGAAUUGGCGGGGGAGCACUACAACGGGUGGAGCCUGCGGUUC